AAACUACAUUCAUUAAAAAUGUCAUAAGUUUCUUAAAAUUCACGCACCAAAUCACAUCUCAUAAAAAUAAGAACGAUCCAACCAUCGCAGCAGCUACAUAAUAAGCGAAUCCAACCGUGGCGGUAGCGUCGUUUCCGGAAGGUGGUUGAGGUGGCGGAUAGUUUGCGUUCGAAGAAUCGCUUCCCAUAGAUCCAGCGACCUCUCCUGGUGUAGCAGCUGCAUCCUUGUUGUCAUUUCCUCCUGGAGCUUUAGCUACAUUGGUCGGAGCUGUUGCGGGGGCUCCAGAGGUGAUCGUCGAGGGUUUAUCAACAGCUGAGACAACCACGGCGGCAAAGAGGAGGAGGAGCAGAGCUACGUGAAGGCGCGCCAUUUUGUUAGUUUAAAUUAGUUAAUUAUCCUAAAAGACUUUUUUCCAAAUGUUUUAUGGUUAUUUUCUUUAUUUACUUGUGAAUUAUUUUUAAAAAUUGUGUAGUGAAGGCUCUUUGUUUAUACAUUGUUGUUAAUCAAAAUGCGAAAUUUGAGGUUUGCCAAAAAAAUAUUUAACGGCGUAUCUUCUACUCCUAAUUUUAGUUUCGCCCCUCUCCCUCUCCUGUCUCAGUUAAUGAAUAUAAUUAAACUUGAGUUUAGCCUAAAAAUUUAUCUUAGAUAUUUUUUUUAGUUUUAAUUUAUCUGAAAAGUAUAAAAAGCAACGUUGUCAAAUGAAAUGAGUAAUAAGGUGAUGAUGUAAAAUAAUAAAAGUAUCAAGUCCAAGUUUAUAGGGCUCUUGUUAAGCAGCCUAGAUUAUCUGACUAUUUUUGUAUGCUUCCUUAAUUCACUUUACCCUAAACAGUAAACACAGUGAUAUGGCGUGAACUGCACGGAAACUGUACCACGAAUUUGGUAAGCCUUGAGUUUUUUAUACAAAUGAAAUAGAAUCUGAACCUUACAAUAAAUGGACUAAUUGAAAUUAUUCGACAAUUAUCAACCUAACACAUGACCCAUGAACAAUUAGAAUAAUGUCAGACCCUAUACAAUGAAAUGUUAAGACAAGUUCCUUAACUUAUGUUUCCCCCUUUUGUACAAACCCUUCCAAAGUGACCCCAUAACAUAGUAAACCGCAAUUUCCCUGCCUUUUUGUCUGAUCUGCCAACAAACCGCUAACUGAGAUCGAUAUUUACUUUUUCAGGAACACACCUUUCUGUCUGGUCACGACCAAGCUCUGCUCCAAGCUGACCCUUAUCACCCGCACCAAACGCGAAUAGCUUCCCUGAUUCCGAGAGCGCAAACGUAUGAGCGUUCCAAUAUAUAGAGUUCGUUAGACUAAUCUGAACCAUCUUCUCCUUCACUUGCUUCAGCGAUGUUACUACCGCUGGACUCAACACAUUCCCAUUUCUAUUACCCUAAUAACAAAACCCAAACCAAAACAUAAAGAGUCAGAUACCUUGCAACGCAAGUUUAAAAGAAACAAGUGCUAACCUGUUCAUCAGCGGCUAUAUGGUGACCGAGACUAGCGGAUUCGCCACAACCAAACGAGUAAACAUCUCCAUCUUCCGAGACAACAAAAGUAGUGUAGUCUCCCGUUGCGACAUGAACCGCCUUGACAUGACUUAGCCCUUCAACGACCUUAGGGACUGAUUCACACUCCUCGUUACCGUGUCCUAAGCAACCGUACCUUCCCCAACCCCAAGUGCACACUCUUCCAUCUUGACCAACCACCGCCGCAUGCCAUGCACCGGCUGCAACUACCCUGGUACUUUACUCUACAGACAUUAGACAAGACAGUGGAAGAGAACAAAUGUUUAUUUUGUUUUAUUUCUUUAUGUCUUUCCAAUUUAUAAGCGCAUUUAUGUUUCUCGAAAAUGACUGUUGCUUUAAAAACAUAGAUUAUAUAUCAUUUCGUGAAGUUACCUUAGUACCCCUACUCACUUUUUGUAGGCUUGGGUUCUUGAUUUACGAGGCAAAUAUAUUUGUAGUAGAUUAAAGUCUCUACGAGACCGGAAUACUGAGUACGUGGAAAAUGUGAAUAUUUAAAAAAUAUAUAUUUACAACUGCGAAAAGAAAACGUUGCAGUGAAGAAAAAAAAAGAAGUAAAAAAAUCAUGGACCAUUUUUUCAUUUUGAUAUAUAAGUUAACACGGGAUGUCCGCGAAAUAUUGUUUUUAUUAUUGAUAAGAACAUAGUUUUUUAGAUAAUGUAAUUAUGUUGUUGUUUUUAUUUGUUAAGAUCGUUAUUUGGUGUUUUUAGUGUGUUAUGUAGUAAUAGAUGAUAGGUUAAUAUAUUUUGUGUUAGUUUUUUCGAAUAAUGUAUUGUUGUGUGUAUAGUACUCGUUAGUAGUGAAAUGAGCAUUGUAAAAGAAUAUUGAAUUUCAAUAACUUUGUUGAUUCUAAGAUUAACGGUUUCAGCGUCAAAAUUGUAUUAUAUUUUUUUUCAUAUUUUUGAAAAUUAUAACUUUUAAGAUGUUUUUUGCCAUCUCCCUAUAUUUUGACCUUGAGCUAUCACCGUCUAUGUAUUUCGUUACCUUUCUGGUGUACGGUGCUUCUCACCAUCACCCGGAAAAAGACUUACAUCUUUCUCUUGUUCUUCUUUGAGAUUACAUGGUAUUUGUUGUAGAUCGGGUUUAUAAGUUUUCAGUUUUUCGCUUGAUUCUCACGGUAUUAGGUUGUUCCAGUCAAUAUUGACUGCUCCUCUUCUUCUUUAGAUUUCAGCUGAUGUUAGGAACUGCAUCUUCGUGGUUGGGUCAUAGUUUAGUCGUUUUUGAUGUUGUAUUCCUCAACGUAGGCUUACCGUCAAUAGUCUCUGCUCGUCUUGGUUUUCAAGAUCUAGUUUUUGGUGUUCUAACUUCUAUGCUCUCUUUCAUAGCUCGAGGACGGCUUCAUAGUUUGCUGAUUUCGUUUCGUCUCAUUUUUCCUCUCUAUUCUCGCAUCUCUUUGCAGCUUUCAUCGCAUCUCUGGUGGCUCUAUCUUUCACCAUGUUUGCCACUCGAGGUUUGGAUAAUGUUUUCGUUCGUGCAUGUUAUAUGGACUUGGAAGGUUAUUUAUGGUAUCAAAUUUAGUCUCUGAUUUCUUGGUAGUUGUCUUUGAUUCUUCCUCCCUCAAGUUGUUUCUUUUCUUUCUAUGUUUCCUUUGUAUAGGUAGGUGUGUGGAAUUAGUCUCUUGGAGCUUUGGUCCAUUCUAUCUAGAUCUUUGUGGUUUUUCACUUGCAUGGCCGUGUUGUAUAUUCUUGUUUAGUUUGUGAGGCGUUUCUUAUCUUUUAGCUACUGAUUGUGAUUUCGGUGCUUUAGGCAUAUAUGUUCCUGCUUCUUGGUGGCUUUGGCAUUUCGAUUAUUAUUCUCCUUCUGACCCGUUUUCUUGGUUAUUUGCAUUGGUGAUCUAGUUUCUUAUUUUGGUUUGAUUAUCUUAUGAUAUUAAUAGUGAAAUAAAUAUAUAAUUUGUAAAUGAAAUAAUAAAAAUUAGUAAAAAUAAUAAAAUGGUGACAGUUUAUGUUAUUUUUAAUUGUAAAUAAAUUAAAUAUUUAAAAUGUAUUUUUGUUAUUUUAUUUAUUUCUUGAAUUUUAGAGACUAAUAAGUAUGAGAAGAAUUAGAUAGUACAUAAUAAGAAAUUGAUAGAACAAAUUGCAAUAACCUAAAAAAAAAAAGAUUUAAAAUACAAAAUAAAAUAUGAAGAUACAUGUCAACAAAUCCUCGUUUCACAUGUUAUAAGAAGAAAAAAAAAACUUUAUAUAGAUAGAUAGAUUUACAACUUCUGUGUGUAAUAUAUAAUCUCUAGAACAUAUGAGAACGGCAAUAGUUAUAAUAAGAGUCGUAACCGUUGCUACAUAAUUUUAGCAAAUUAAGUCCUAAAUGACAACUCUACAAACACACACAUUCAUCAAACAAACUGAUGGUAGCUAAGCUAUUAUCGAUAUAUGUAUGAUAAGAGCAUUAUAUAUAUUGAAGAGUUAACCAGCUUUAGCAUCUAUAAUAACUCUUUUAAGUCUUUGAGGGUACAUUCGUUUAGCGACUGUGUUACAUUACACAUUUAUUCACAAGACCCAAAACUCAAAUGCAUAAUGCUUAUUAUAAUAAAACAAAAAGGUUUAAUGAUGGAUGAAUCAAGGAUUUAAAAGCAAUCGUUUUGUGUGUUUUAACAAAUAUUUUUUGUUUUAUGCGGAUAUUGGUAUAGUGAAGAAAGUGUUGUUAAACACGAAGUAGUGACCAAACACACGUGCAUGAAAAUCUCGGUUCGAGAAGAAGACUCCUCAAAACCAACGACCAAAACCAUAAUCUUGUUCUUCGUUUAUUUUACCAGGUAAGCAAAUUACUAAAGUAAUACAACUUCUUGCUUACCACGUUUGCUUCAGUUUAUUUUACUUAGUUGUUGUACAAAUAUGAUUCUUCUUGGGAACCGUACAAUGUCAAACCAAGUUAUGGUCAAGAUAUAAGAAAAUUCAUUUUGUGACAUUGCUAUGGAAUCUCUUUUAGGCUUUACUAUUCUCAUAUUCUUUGAUUGUUUUCUUUCUUUUCGUAAAUCUAAAUCUUCUUACUUCAUCAUUAUAAAUUGACAAUAUUUAUUUCGGAACUGAACCAACCUAAUCGAAAUGAACCAAAAACUCGGUUUUUAGUUUUAGUUUUACAAUAAACGAUUUAUCCAAACUGAAAUUCAAAACCAAACCCACAAAACCCUAUAGAAAAAAAAAACAAAAUAUCAACCCUGUAUUUAUUUUAAAUUUACAAUAUAUGAUCAUUUUUAAUUCUCAUUUUAGUUAGUAAGUGGACUAUUAUGUUUCUAAGAAAUAAUACACUGGCAUAUACAUGUUUUUAUAUACAUAAUUUGAAUCUAUUUGUAAUAAUCUUCGAUUUACCUUUUUACUUAAUUACGGCUCAAACUUAAAACAUUAUUUUAUUCUAUCAAAUUUAAUACAUGUAUUUAGUCAAAAAAAUUAAAUAAAUGUAAGAUAUGAAGGAACAGAACUAGACUCUAACCUGAAUAGAAAUACCAUAAAACCAAACGAGCCAAAGUGAUUUCGAUUCGAUUCGGUUCGGUUAGAAUUUUACUAAAACCAAACCAAAUCUUUAGAUUUAUAUCUCUUGAAGUCUUGAGAAUUGUAUGCCUACAAGGCUACAACACCUAGGCUGUAACUGGUAAAUUGAUCUGGAAUUAAUGGAACAAAAAUAAAUAAAAUGAUAGGAAUGAAAUGGAAUACAUAAAAAAAAUGGAACGGAAUACAUUCCAUUUAUUCAUGAACAAUUUUGUUAUGGAAUACUUUUCUUUGUAUUUUAUCAAAAUAUUUUUGGAAUUGGUGGAAUGACCAUUCCAUUCCAUUCAUAUCAAAUGGUAAAAAAGGUUUUUGGAAUCAAUGGAAUCCACCAUUCCACGUCGUUCCAUUCCAAAAUAUUGUAAUCCAGUUGCACCCCUAAUGUUUCAAGUUAGUGAAGAAAGAUUUAUAUCUUUGAGCAAGACCAAACAUCCCAAGAGUGCCUCCAGUGUGAAGCAUCACUACAAUGCUCGAAUCCUCGUCCUCCACAAGCUCUGUUGCCGUCUCCCAAGCAGCUAAAGUAUACAUUGGAUCCACUAAAACACCCGUCUCUUGCGCAAUCUUCCGACACAUCUCGACUUCUCCUUCCAAGACCUUCCCAAACCUGCAAGAACAAAAGUAAAUAUAUAACUGAAAAUAUCACUUUUAGUAUAUCUUCAAUAGCGAAAAGAAUCAUACUUUCUCGGGCGUUGACGUUCUACCCAUUUGAUCGUAUCCAAGCGGCUGCAAACGAUGGAGGGAAGAAACUGCCUCGUAAACUCUUCUAACAAGCGAUGUUCAUGUCUUUUGUAGUUUUCGAGUGUAUCAGCUAACAUCACUGCAUUGAUCUCCCAGGGAAGCCUGAGAGGAGAAGUGUAACAUGAGCAAGAAAAGAAACAGACACAAAAAGCGUUAUCAAUAAAGUCUUGUUCAACAAAGCCUAACCCUAAAGACAUAGCUGCAACUCCUAAACCCACAGCAGUCGUUCCAGUACCAGCAUCAACUACAAACUUGACACGACUCUUCUUCCCAAGUAAAUGAUCUUCUGACAAAUACUUCACUAACCGAAACAUACCUGCAUAGUAAAACAAAGGCACACAUAAACAACAAAUCUUGAUAAGUUCUUUCCACCAAAUUAGAUUGCUUACCGAGUAACGCAAGAGCAUCGCCUGCGCCUUCAUUGACGAUCAAAACCUUUCUAGAAGAAGCAGCUUGGGAAGUCGAAAAACCAUCAAUAGCCUCAAGGUCUUUAGCCCAUAAGACAGAACCGUCUUCCCCAGCGACAAGAUCAGCGUGAGUUCUCAGCAUCUCCUCCCUAUUCGCAUACUUCGAUCUCGGAACAUACUCAACGUUUCCAUACAUAGUUGAAACGAGGUUAUAACCGGUCAAAACCUCGGGCUGCUCUCCACGCAGUAGCAGAUGUGAUCUCACACCUCUCUCAGCACAAGAAACAGCUGUAACAACAUAGAAAGAACUGAUAUUCAAAACAUAAACAUGUUUAGUUCUCUCAAUAAGAAGGUUCUGACUUUUUUUUACCAACAGCAGCUGUGUGUGCGCUUUGACAACCUCCACACGUAACCUAACAUUCAAACAAAAAUCUCUAAGCAUUUUUUUUUUCAAAGGACCCAACUGAGAAAAAGGAUAACUAACUUCUCACCAAGUCAGUGACUUUAUGAUCCUGAAGAAGUGGUAGCAAAGCAUCAAGCUUUCUAGCUUUGUUACCAUUGACAAGAGGAUGCAAAAGAUCGUCUCUCAGAAUGUAAAAAGACGAUCUUUUUUUAGAGACUUCAUCUCCGAGACGUGGACGAGUGUUGUUCAAGAAGGAGAGUUUGCCGAUUCCACUGAUUCGAUGAAUUGGAGUUGCGGGACUCUGUAAUCCCCACUUCCUAUCGAGUAACUUCGACACGGACUCGAGCUCAGCCUAUUGACAAUAUAGUUGCAAUUGCAAAAUGGGUAUUCUCGGAAGUGAAUAAAAAACCGAACUUUAACCUGAGAGGAGUGGAAGUGAUGGAGGUUUGAUUUCGCGUUGACUGCCAAAAUGGUUGACCGUUGGACCUUCAUUGCCGCUACGCUUCUCUGCAAAUUACUCUCUAUCGGCUAACAGAGUAUCUGUGAAAAACUGAAAAUACAUACAUCCACGCGCGUCUCAUUUCACAGGAUGUGAUAGACACGCGCUUUUUGAGACAUGUAUGGGCCAAGCUUCUCUCACCCGGCCCAUAUCUAACAACCAAAGUUGUUUCCUUUUUUUACAUUUUUUUUCAAACACUAAUUUUUCACUGUAAUAUUAAAAAUACUAUGUGAAUGAUUUUUUUAUGUUCACCACUUUGACGAAAAACCAAACAUUGUAAAUAUUUCUCUCAAAUCGAAUUGAACUCAAGUGGCGGUAGUUACAGUUGCAAUCUCUCGUCAACUCAAUGUCGGUUUAUAUAAAUGAUUUUACAACUAGUAAUUCUACUUAUUUUUAUGAAAAUUUAUACCUAAAACUACAUCACAGUAAAUUAUUUUAAAAAGAUUUUUCUUUUUAAUUAUCCCCCUCGAGUGCCAUUGACCCAAUUCCAUUGGUUUAUUUUAUGAAUGUCAAAAUCGGUUCUAUCGUUUUGGGUACAUGCAGAUACUGGAUUUGUGAUACGGACUAUAAAACAUAGAUACGUAUCACAUAAGGUUUCAUUUUUGUCAUGAUCACUGUAUCGUCUCACUUUCAUAAGAGACAAGCAAAAUGCUAUAUUACAUCUACAAGAUAAAAACAUUACAAACUACAUUCAUUAAAAAUGUCAUAAGUUUCUUAAAAUUCACGCACCAAAUCACAUCUCAUAAAAAUAAGAACGAUCCAACCAUCGCAGCAGCUACAUAAUAAGCGAAUCCAACCGUGGCGGUAGCGUCGUUUCCGGAAGGUGGUUGAGGUGGCGGAUAGUUUGCGUUCGAAGAAUCGCUUCCCAUAGAUCCAGCGACCUCUCCUGGUGUAGCAGCUGCAUCCUUGUUGUCAUUUCCUCCUGGAGCUUUAGCUACAUUGGUCGGAGCUGUUGCGGGGGCUCCAGAGGUGAUCGUCGAGGGUUUAUCAACAGCUGAGACAACCACGGCGGCAAAGAGGAGGAGGAGCAGAGCUACGUGAAGGCGCGCCAUUUUGUUAGUUUAAAUUAGUUAAUUAUCCUAAAAGACUUUUUUCCAAAUGUUUUAUGGUUAUUUUCU
This 8156-nucleotide long non-coding RNA is filed under the name Brassica napus (rape). Its description in RNAcentral is "long non-coding RNA (BNAP_LNC005561)". The record is from RNAcentral. Lineage: Eukaryota; Viridiplantae; Streptophyta; Magnoliopsida; Brassicales; Brassicaceae.